This 666-nucleotide ribosomal RNA is filed under the name uncultured bacterium. RNAcentral's name for it is "bacterial SSU rRNA". It matches the Rfam family "Bacterial small subunit ribosomal RNA", at positions 300 to 980 of the family's 1533-position model. The record is from RNAcentral.
UGAUUCGGCCACACUGGACUGAGACCGUCCCAGGUCUACGGAGGCAGCAGUGGGGAUUUGACCAUGGGCGAAGCCUGAUCCAGCAUGGCGCGUGCGGGAAGAAGCUCGGGUGUAAUCGCUUUAGUCGGGAAAAGGGGUGCGAGGAUAUACCCUCGUGCUUUGAUGUACUGAGAGAAGCACGGCUACUACGUGCCAGCAGCCGCGGUAAUACGUAGGGUGCGAGCGUUAAUCGGAAUUACUGGGCGUAAAGCGUGCGCAGGCGGUUGUGUAAGACAGGUGUGAAAUCCCCGGGCUUAACCUGGGAACUGCGCUUGUGACUGCACAGCUAGAGUAUGGCAGAGGGGGGUGGAAUUCCACGUGUAGCAGUGAAAUGCGUAGAGAUGUGGAGGAACACCGAUGGCGAAGGCAGCCCCCUGGGCCAAUACUGACGCUCAUGCACGAAAGCGUGGGGAGCAAACAGGAUUAGAUACCCUGGUAGUCCACGCCCUAAACGAUGUCGACUAGGUGUUCGGUGAGGAGACUCAUUGAGUACCGCAGCUAACGCGUGAAGUCGACCGCCUGGGGAGUACGGUCGCAAGAUUAAAACUCAAAGGAAUUGACGGGGACCCGCACAAGCGGUGGAUGAUGUGGAUUAAUUCGAUGCAACGCGAAAAACCUUACCUACCC